AUGAUUAGAGAUUUUUGGUGGGGAGACGAAGAGGGACAUAGGAAGGUUCAUUGGAUGUCUUGGGAUCGCAUGAUAAAACCUAAGAGAGCUGGCGACAUUGGAUUUAGAGACAUGCACCUGUUCAACCAGGCCCUUCUUGCUAAACAAGCCUGGAGGUUAAUCCAAAACCAGGAGAGCCUGUGUGCAAGGGUGCUCAAAUCUAAGUAUUACCCUAACGGAAAUCUCCUAGACACCGUCUUUGCAUCGGAUGCAUCGCCUGUAUGGAGAGGCAUUGAGUUUGGACUGCAGCUUCUGAAAAAGGGGAUAAUGUGGAGAGUGGGCCACGGGAAAAACAUCCAAAUCUAG
RNAcentral lists this ribosomal RNA (345 nucleotides) under Triticum aestivum (bread wheat). RNAcentral's name for it is "partial small subunit ribosomal RNA". Lineage: Eukaryota; Viridiplantae; Streptophyta; Magnoliopsida; Poales; Poaceae. The record is from RNAcentral.